UACGUAGGGGGCAAGCGUUGUCCGGAAUUAUUGGGCGUAAAGAGCGUGUAGGCGGUCCGGUAAGUCAGCUGUGAAAGUCAAGGGCUCAACCCUUGAAUGCCGGUUGAUACUGUCGGGCUAGAGUCCGGAAGAGGCGAGUGGAAUUCCUGGUGUAGCGGUGAAAUGCGCAGAUAUCAGGAGGAACACCGGUGGCGAAGGCGGUUCUCUGGGCAUUACCUGACGCUGAGGAGCGAAAGUGUGGGGAGCGAACAGG
This 253-nucleotide ribosomal RNA is filed under the name uncultured bacterium. RNAcentral describes it as "partial 16S ribosomal RNA". It matches the Rfam family "Bacterial small subunit ribosomal RNA", at positions 524 to 776 of the family's 1533-position model. The record is from RNAcentral.